RNAcentral lists this transfer RNA (84 nucleotides) under Felis catus (domestic cat). It matches the Rfam family "tRNA". Rfam says of the family: Transfer RNA (tRNA) molecules are approximately 80 nucleotides in length. Their secondary structure includes four short double-helical elements and three loops (D, anti-codon, and T loops). Further hydrogen bonds mediate the characteristic L-shaped molecular structure. tRNAs have two regions of fundamental functional importance: the anti-codon, which is responsible for specific mRNA codon recognition, and the 3' end, to which the tRNAs corresponding amino acid is attached (by aminoacyl-tRNA synthetases). tRNAs cope with the degeneracy of the genetic code in two manners: having more than one tRNA (with a specific anti-codon) for a particular amino acid; and 'wobble' base-pairing, i.e. permitting non-standard base-pairing at the 3rd anti-codon position. The record is from Rfam by way of RNAcentral. Lineage: Eukaryota; Metazoa; Chordata; Mammalia; Carnivora; Felidae.
AUCUGGGUGGCUCAGUUAGUUGAGCAUCUGACUUUGGCUCAGGUCAUGAUCUUGCGUUUGUGGGUUCAAGCCCCGCCUCAGGCU